This 993-nucleotide long non-coding RNA is filed under the name Cavia porcellus (domestic guinea pig). RNAcentral's name for it is "lncRNA (ENSCPOG00000032359.1)". The record is from RNAcentral. Lineage: Eukaryota; Metazoa; Chordata; Mammalia; Rodentia; Caviidae.
CCCGCGGUGUGGCCCUCUCCCUCUCUGCACAAUGUUCAAUGAGUGGGCGCGCUUUCUUCACCACUCACCUCCGGGCCACCAGGGGCCGCUCCCGAGCUAGGCAGGUCCGAGUGUUGCUGGUUCCCUGUGCUGCUACCAAAGUGGGUGGCUGCCGAGUGCGGGCUCAGUCUUCCUGGUCCCUGUUUUCCUCCUCCACAGCCUGAGACCUAAAGCAGCCUCCCUCUGGCUGGGGCUGCCGCAGCACAGCCUUCUCGGCUCCCCCAGUCUGCGAAGUGCUGACCAGAUCCCGGCCCUGGCCCCGUGCCAACAGCAGCUCCCGCAGCUCCUCCCCGGCAAAGGACAUGGAUGACGGCAAAGUGAGCAUGGCCAUGAAGAGGCCCCCAGACUAUCCAGGGCCCCCGUUCCUGAGAGGCCCCAUGCCGCCCCCCCGUGGGCUAUGGGCCGCCGCAGCCACCACCACCCUCAGGCCCUUCAGGCCUCGGCCGAUGCCUCGUAGGCCAGCGCCACCAUUCGUUACGUCCCUUGCAGGGGCCCACCACUGGGCUUAAGAGAGUACGUGCCCGGCAUCCAACCCAGAUGCCGCAACCUGCCGCUGCACCCCGGCCAGUUCUUGCCAGGACCUGUGCCAUUUAGGCCUCCAGGCCCGCUCAGCCCCUGAGAGUAUUUCAUUCCUGCUCCUGAAUGCCACCACCGCCUGCUGGGCCCAGGACUACCCACUGCUGCCUGCCACAGGGGAGCCCCAGCUCUCAGGGCUGAGAGAGGCCUCAGCCUCACCACUAAGCAGCCAGGAACCUGCCCAGGCUUGAGGCAGAGCCCUUAAUGGCCCCACUACUCACAGGGCCAAGGUUUUUAUUGGAUUUGGAAUUCUUUUUAAAAGGAAGUUCGUUUUAGUAGGUUUUUAGUAUUAAGCUCCUGGUCCUCACUUCCUUUGGUUUGAUGUUGCUGAGACCUAAAAACAUAAACCUGGAAACCCACUAUUAAAAUGUAGCCCAA